AUACGGAGGAUCCGAGCGUUAUCCGGAUUUAUUGGGUUUAAAGGGUGUGCAGGCGGCCAUUUAAGUCAGCGGUUAAAUCGUGGGGCUCAACCCCAUUCUGCCGUUGAUACUGGGUGGCUUGAUUGCGGUCGAGGUUGGCGGAAUUCGUUGUGUAGCGGUGAAAUGCAUAGAUAUGACGAAGAACACCGAUUGCGUAGGCAGCUGACCAGACCGCAAAUGACGCUCAUGCACGAAAGUGCGGGGAUCGAACAGGAUUAGAUACCCUGGUAGUCCGCACAGUAAACGAUGAAUACUUGUUUUCGGCGAUAUAAUGUCGGAGGCAAAGCGAAAGCGAUAAGUAUUCCACCUGGGGAGUACGCCGGCAACGGUGAAACUCAAAUGAAUUGACGGGG
RNAcentral lists this ribosomal RNA (392 nucleotides) under uncultured bacterium. RNAcentral's name for it is "partial 16S ribosomal RNA". It matches the Rfam family "Bacterial small subunit ribosomal RNA", at positions 523 to 918 of the family's 1533-position model. The record is from RNAcentral.